This 546-nucleotide ribosomal RNA is filed under the name uncultured bacterium. RNAcentral describes it as "bacterial SSU rRNA". It matches the Rfam family "Bacterial small subunit ribosomal RNA", at positions 283 to 825 of the family's 1533-position model. The record is from RNAcentral.
GUAGCGGGUCUGAGAGGACGACCCGCCACAUUGGGACUGAGAUACGGCCCAGACUCCUACGGGAGGCAGCAGUGGGGAAUAUUGCGCAAUGGCCGAAAGGCUGACGCAGCGACGCCGUGUGUGGGAGGAAGCCCUUCGGGGUGUAAACCACUGUCAGGGGGGAAGAAACCAGGUCGGUCGAACAGGCCGAUCUGCUGACGGUACCUCCAAAGGAAGCGCCGGCUAACUCCGUGCCAGCAGCCGCGGUAAGACGGAGGGCGCAAGCGUUGUUCGGAAUUACUGGGCGUAAAGCGCGGGCAGGCGGCCCGUUAAGUCUGCGGUGAAAUCCCGGGGCUCAACUCCGGAUAUGCCGCGGAUACUGGCGGGCUAGAGACUGGUAGAGGCGAGUGGAAUUCCUGGUGUAGCGGUGGAAUGCGUAGAUAUCAGAAGAACACGGGUGGCGAAGCGGCUCGCUGGGCCAGUUCUGACGCUCAUCCGCGAAAGCGUGGGGAGCAAACAGAUAGAUACCCUGGUAGUCCACGCCGUAACGAUGGGCACUAGAUGCCG